GAGGGAGGGGCCAUUUUGUUGUGGUAUGUGAUCAACAAUAUCUUUCCUAGUAUCUGCUUUGAGUAUGCACCUACUUUGUGUGCAGUUUGACAUGUAAAUUUUGGCAUCUUAGUGAUGGAUCUUGAGAUAAAUCUAUCACAUGGAUAACCUUUGCCUUUAAUAAUUUAAUCAGGCUGUUAGACAGUCUAUUUUUACAUUACGGUAAUUGACAUUCAUAUGAGACCAGUUGUAUCUUGUGGGCAGAUGAGCAGUGCCGCUGGCAAGGUGCCUGCCCCAGGACAGGCAGUAUACUCUGCUUCUAAAUUUGCUCUAAAUGGUUAUUUUCAGUCCUUGCGUUCUGAGCUCUAUCAAAAAGGAAUUAAGGUGACCGUUGUUUGUCCUGGGCCAGUAGAAACUUCAAAUGGCUAUGGAGUGACAACCCCAGCGAGGAAGGGUUCUGAGAAACGUGUGUCGUCAGAAAGGUGUGCAGAAUUGACAAUAAUUGCAGCAACUCACGGAUUAAAAGAAGCUUGGAUAUCACACCAGGUAUUUGCUUUCCUGUUAGAAAUUUCUUAGCUAUAUUCCUUCGACUUUUAUUUAUAUUUAAUUCAGGUACUUCAAUAGGCAUGAUACAGUAUUUUGUUGUAUAAAUUCACCUAGGUGAUGAAUUUGUAGGAAUUCUAUUUUCUUUAUUUACUUCAUAAUAGAAUGCUGCGAAUUUUUAUGUUUUCUAGUAUAAAUUUGUAGCAUAUUCUAGAUAUGUGCAAAUAUUAAUAAUUUGAUCUUUCUUUCAGCCUGUACUAGCUGUUUUGUAUCUAGUACAAUACAUGCCAACCAUUGGCUACUGGUUCAUGGAUAAGGUAUCUUCGAACUUGAAAAUAAUGUGUUCCGUACAACAUGUCCUAUAUGUUUGUGGCCCAUUUUGUCUAAUUUUCAGUUGCAGCAUCUUGUUUUAUCAAGCCUGAUGCUAUUAAGUGCUUCUCAUUUCUUAUUACUUGCAUGUAUUUUGAGCUGUAAUUUAAUAGAAUUCAUGAUUGACUGACUUUAGAUUGGGGGGAAGCGAGUUGAAGUGGCUGCACAGAGAGGCAACACAUACUCGUGGAACUUACUGUUUGGAAAGAAGGAGGCCUAAAUUUCUUCUGAUGGGAAUUGGGUUCAUGCAGAGAUGCUUGUCAACAAAUGCAAGCCCAUCAAAACUCGUGUUUUGUAGUUACAGAACUCGUUCAAUGACACGAUGAUUAGCAUAUCUUAUUAUCUUUGAAAUCUUUAAAUUUGAUAAAAGUGCUGUUUAAAUCUCUUACUAUUUUUUAAGAUUUUAUGAAAAACAUUUUCUUUAAAA
Molecule: unclassified non-coding RNA, 1318 nt
Filed under: Hevea brasiliensis (rubber tree)
Lineage: Eukaryota; Viridiplantae; Streptophyta; Magnoliopsida; Malpighiales; Euphorbiaceae
Source: RNAcentral